CCUGGCGAACGAAAACUCUGCCAUCCUAAUCCCACGUUCGCACAGCUACAAGAAAAAAAAAGUAACGACAAACCGGAAAGAUCCGCAAUCACGCCCGUGCCCUUCGUCCAACCUUCCCCAAACCUCGCGUUCUUCCUCUCCCCAUCGAGCGCCGCCGCCCCCGUCGCGUCUACGAUCUCUCCCACAGGCACGACUCGCUGCCCUCCCCUGGUCGCUGCAACUCGCACCUCACCUCAAUCGCCACCAGCCUCCCCCUCCACUACAUCGCCUCGACCUCCAACGCCCGAUGCUCGCCCUCCACUAGAUCGGCGCUGCCCGAUGUGUGGGAUGCGAGAGUCCGGCUGCAGCUGCGUGGCCACGACACGGCUCGCACGGCGCGUAUGCAGCAGCUCGCAAACAGCAGCGGCUCGACAGGAGCGGCGAUGGGCUGCAGGGCUGCGGCGAUGGCGGUCGUCCGGCAUAUGGAGCGGCUCUAACAGGCAGGCUGCUGAGCGCGAGUAGGGCUUGGCAGAGCGCAUAAGUCCAGCGCAUCAUGGCCGGGCCAGCGGGGCAACGAUGUACGCGGAGGUGGUGGUUCAUCGAUGUGCGUACGUAUCCUUACAAGAUCAACGGGAUAGGAUGCUGUGGAUUGUUCUCUCCAGCUGUUCGAUUUGCACAUGCGACAAUCGAAGUGUGCCUAUGUUUGGCCGGCCCUGGCUGCCCGGUUCACAGAUAUACAGGUCGAAUUCUUCGUUCUUUAUUAUAGACCGUUUCAUGUGCUUUGACUCGUGUCUGGGUCGGCGCAUCUAUUAUUUUCGGUCGCAAAUGUGCGCUAGCUCAUGCCUCUCUUGGGUGAUAUAAUUUUGUUGGGGUUUCUCAUAAACUGCAGUGCAUGUGUUAUGCAGAUGAACAAAAACCAUUCAGGUUCUGCAUCCACCCAUCAGGUUCUCUAUUAUACUGCAGGAGGAAAUCCUUUCUUAAUUCUUAUUGACCCUUCAAGCGGGAGGCUUUUAGAGGCAGCUUUCGUGCUUUUCCUUUCCGCUGGAACUGCAUGCAGAGUCUGAGUUCAUGGAGUGCCUUUGGCCUUUAGAAAGAAGAAGAAUAAAUGUUUCGCCGUUGAUCUUUCUUAUGUUCCUAGGUGCAUUGUUUUAGGUUAUGCCCUCAUAUGCAGAGAUGGAAAAUCACACAUUUUGCAUCCAGCUUUCAAUGGGAAUAAAUUGAAUUUUGUUUCGAAGCU
RNA transcript from Triticum aestivum (bread wheat), 1216 nucleotides. RefSeq lists it as uncharacterized. The transcript is spliced from 2 exons. The record is from RefSeq and is a predicted model, not a curated record. Lineage: Eukaryota; Viridiplantae; Streptophyta; Magnoliopsida; Poales; Poaceae.